This 576-nucleotide long non-coding RNA is filed under the name Rattus norvegicus (Norway rat). RNAcentral's name for it is "long non-coding RNA NONRATT007077". Lineage: Eukaryota; Metazoa; Chordata; Mammalia; Rodentia; Muridae. The record is from RNAcentral.
GAGCUGCCCGGCUGAAGGCUUGUUGCUGCUGAGACCCACCGGCCAGUUCUGACAUUCUCUUCCCCUCCCUACCCUUCCAGUGCAGGGACCAUGAGGAAUACAACCCCUUUGACCAGGGCUUUGCCAAGAACUGGUAUCUAACAAUGUGUGCACCACUGGGUCCCAAUUACAUGUCUGAAGUUGUCUGUCUGCAAAGACCGGUGGGGACAGAACGAAUCCAGGAGAAGACUAAACACCCACCACCGUGUCCUCCCAAACCUUGUGGCCCAGGUCAUCCUGGGCCACAGAUCCAACCUCGGCACACACGAGGGAAGGGACCCCCAGGGAGUGGCGAGGCUGCAGCUCUCCAGGAGAUGAGAAGCCUACCUGCAUCUGUGGAAAAGUCCCCAGGAGGUCCACGCCAACCCAUGGCUGAAUCUGCUGAUGAGGCUCACCCCGGUACUCACAGAGCCAGGACCACCUGAACUUGCGCCUCCGAGUUUGAAUCCGAGUGGUCCACUUGGGCCCAGCCCCUGUUUCACUGGUGGGAGCACUGACACCCACCAAUCCUCAUUAAAUAUUGAUUGACGGUUUCUG